CCUACGGGUGGCAGCAGUGGGGAAUAUUGGACAAUGGGCGAAAGCCUGAUCCAGCCAUGCCGCGUGUGUGAAGAAGGCCUUCGGGUUGUAAAGCACUUUCAGUGGGGAAGAAAGCCUUGGGGCUAAUACCCUCGAGGAAGGACAUCACCCACAGAAGAAGCACCGGCUAACUCCGUGCCAGCAGCCGCGGUAAUACGGAGGGUGCGAGCGUUAAUCGGAAUUACUGGGCGUAAAGCGCGCGUAGGCGGUCUGAUAAGCCGGUUGUGAAAGCCCCGGGCUCAACCUGGGAACGGCAUCCGGAACUGUCAGGCUAGAGGGCAGGAGAGGAAGGUAGAAUUCCCGGUGUAGCAGUGAAAUGCGUAGAGAUCGGGAGGAAUACCAGUGGCGAAGGCGGCCUUCUGGACUGACACUGACGCUGAGGUGCGAAAGCGUGGGUAGCAAACAGGAUUAGAUACCCGGGUAGUC
RNAcentral lists this ribosomal RNA (465 nucleotides) under Vreelandella stevensii. Its description in RNAcentral is "partial 16S ribosomal RNA". It matches the Rfam family "Bacterial small subunit ribosomal RNA", at positions 338 to 795 of the family's 1533-position model. Lineage: Bacteria; Pseudomonadati; Pseudomonadota; Gammaproteobacteria; Oceanospirillales; Halomonadaceae. The record is from RNAcentral.